Molecule: ribosomal RNA, 120 nt
Filed under: Lepisosteus oculatus (spotted gar)
Lineage: Eukaryota; Metazoa; Chordata; Actinopteri; Semionotiformes; Lepisosteidae
Source: RNAcentral
GCCAGCAGAUAUAUCAUCCUGCAGCUCACAGCUGGCAGCCCCACUGCAGCUCAGCAGGUGUGAGCCUGGCCAGUACCUGGAUGGGAGACCUCCUGGGGAAAGCUAGGGUUGCUGCUGGAA